Mustela lutreola (European mink) is the source of this 988-nucleotide long non-coding RNA. RefSeq lists it as uncharacterized. Lineage: Eukaryota; Metazoa; Chordata; Mammalia; Carnivora; Mustelidae. The record is from RefSeq and is a predicted model, not a curated record. The transcript is spliced from 3 exons.
CGGAUCCCGGGGCCCUGCCAUCCGCGUUUAUCCGCGUUUAGCCCGACAGGGGCUCCCCCGUGUGGCUCCAGGGGCUAGCAACGUCUGUGACUUGAAUAUUUACCCGGUUCUCUUUUCAGGUUGAAGACGGGAGUCUGGCCAUCGUGAGCUGACCCAGGAGACGCUCUUGUUCUCUUUUUAGCGCGUUUUUGCCUCCUUAGGAUUAGAAAAAGCUUCCAGCUUUUCUCAGGUUGACAUGGACCCUGGCAGAGGAAUUAGAGGCGUCCAAUUUCGAGUAACCAGACGCCUGCCUGGGAAGUAAUUAGGGGUAGAAUGGGCGACUCUUGGAGUGAAAAUGGAGGAAAGGAAAGCAUCAUGCUGUCUUGAUUGCGGUUGGUUUGUAGUAUUUUUUGAAAUUGGUGCGGGAAACUGAAGCUUCAGAGACUAAAUGAUUAACGUGGGCCUCUGCUCAGUAAAUUGCAUAUCUGGGACUAGAACCUGGGUCUUCUGACUCCUACUCCAAAGCCCUUGAAGAAGUGUUGUCCUGAGAAGCUCACCAGCUCAACAGAUGUGCCCUUAUGUGCCUGCUGGGAAGCAAGCACAGAACAGAGACAUUAUCCCAAAUAAUGACAUAGAAAUAGGGCCUCAGAGAAUGGUUCCUGACUGAGUUGAAACUCAAGAGAUGAAAUUCUAUUAUCACCCUAAGUAAAUAUGAUUACUUAUCAACUGCAGAGCCUUUUUUUUAAAAAGUCUUAAUUCUAAAAUGUACAGAAAAUGAAACUUUAACCGCCACCCUAAAGUGUUUCAGAAUAUUUGUGGCAGAUAAUUUACAUUAUCUUAGGAACGCUACAAACUCUUAAAUUGCAGGGCCAAUAGCUAAGGAGGCCAAUCUGGCAUUGUGUUUUUGUAAUAAACAUAAUUAUAAUGAAAGUUGAAAUAAAGGAAAUUCAGAAGAGUUUGUGCUGUACUUGGCAUCUAUCUAAACUUCAGAGUUAAGCCAGGGACGGAG